GAUGAACGCUAGCUACAGGCUUAACACAUGCAAGUCGAGGGGAAACGACAUCGAAAGCUUGCUUUUGAUGGGCGUCGACCGGCGCACGGGUGAGUAACGCGUAUCCAACCUGCCCACCACUUGGGGAUAACCUUGCGAAAGUAAGACUAAUCCCCAAUGAUAUCCCACGAAGGCAUCCGAAUGGGGAUUAAAAGAUUUAGUCCGGUGAUGGAUGGGGAUGCGUCUGAUUAGCUUGUUGGCGGGUAACGGCCCACCAAGGCUUACGAUCAGUAGGGGUUCUGAGAGGAAGGUCCCCCACAUUGGAACUGAGACACGGUCC
RNAcentral lists this ribosomal RNA (319 nucleotides) under uncultured bacterium. RNAcentral describes it as "bacterial SSU rRNA". It matches the Rfam family "Bacterial small subunit ribosomal RNA", at positions 28 to 332 of the family's 1533-position model. The record is from RNAcentral.